UUUUUUUUUUUUUAAAUGGAGUCUCCCUCUGUCGCCCAGGCUGGAGUGCAGUGGCGCGACCUCGGCUCACUGCAACCCAGAGGAGUCAAUUCUUAAAGGUUCCUAACACAGCCUGAGUUUGAAGCUUAGGGUAUUGAUUGGCCCUGCCCGAAGCGUCAGUGAGAACCCCUGGGCUUUGAACCUCCGCAGGGCUGUGAACCAAGAGCAGAUGCUGCAGUUCUUCCCCUCAAAGCCUCCAAAAAAGCAUCAUGAGAAAUAAAGGAACUGUGCAUCCUGGGACAAAAUGUCCCCCGCAACUUCCGGGGCGCCAUUCACAGGAAACCAGCGUGGACGCCCCUGGGCAGGCCUCCGGGAGCAAGAAAGCUUUUUUCAAGAUAUGAGGACGGACGAUUUUCCUGAGGCGCAGACCGUAGUGAGCUUCCGGGGAGAAGGGCUGUUUCCUGUCUUGGGCGUGGAAGCGGAUCAACCCACUGAAUCUGAGAGGACGUGGGUAGCGGUCUGUAAACGGGACUUAAUUCUGUUCCUCAUCCACCCAGAACCCUCCCUGAGGUCCUCCCCUGCACUUUGGAAACAGCCCAAGCUUUGAAAUCAGGAAGUUUGAAGACUGGUUCUGCUACUUCCAGGCUGUGUGGCCUUGGGUAAGUUGCUUACGCGCUCUGCUCAGGUUGCGCAUUUGUGGAACCAGUUAAUUAUGUAACCGGCUGAGUUCCCGCACUGAAUAGGAGAAGUCGGCCUUUCUUGGUAGAUGCUAUGCCUGCGUGUGUGGGGUUGAAGGAAAAGAGGAAAAUGAGAAGGACCAAGAUUGACCUGACUUGAUUUACAGGAAAGAAGAGAGAGUUGCUGGAGGAAGAAGGACGCAUCCACUGGAAAAGGAUGAGAAAAAGGAGAGAGAGAGAGAGAAGUCAGAGGCUGGGUUGGGAGUGAAUUUGGGAGAUUGUGGAGGAAAAGGGGAGAGAGAUUUGUGGGGUAGCUGUAGGACAUGCGCCUGUAUUUAGAAGGGGAGAGAGUUGGGAGACUUUGUGGGAUUAUUAAAUUUACCUUUAGCAUUUGUAGAGAGCAUCCCAUUAAAUACGCCAAUGGCUUUAUCAAACAGGUUGUUUAAAAUCAUUCUUGCAUCCAAGAAUAAAAUAAGAACAGAAAUAUCCAGAAGCCUGUUAGCAGUCCCCGCCGUGGCUCCAUUCUCACUCCCAGCUGUCAACUCCAUGAGGUCAAGGACUCUAACACAACUGGGUCGUUGGCGGCUCGCAGCCGUGGCUGCUGGCAUGGGAAAGAUGCCAAUCAUAUGUGUCAUUGAAUUUAUUGCUUUCUGUGGUUUGAAGCCUGAAAAAGUUAAGAGAGAGUUACAGCCUCCUUUGACGUUAUUGUCAUCGAUCAUGAGCCCCGUGAGGUGGGAUGUGGAGGUGGUCACUCUCUGGGAAUCUCUGAGAUGAGCACACAUUAACUUUCUAGAAGCAUCUGUACAGAGCCCAUUUAUGCCAUUCAAAGCUUCCUGAAUCCAAAGGAAACCUCGUAAAAAGUCAGCUAAAACACUUGAGCAUUUAGAAACAUUUCCUGAUCUUUUGGUUCUAGCAAAUAGCACAGUGGAAAAAAUAAAUACCUUGAAGUUGAAGGAAAUGCCUUUGUUUAUACCCACAGAUCUCCUGUGGGUAUAACCAUUGUGAAUUGACAAGGUUUAAUAUUUGAUACAAGCAUCGUGAACACAUAUUGUUAAUCCUCCUUUUUUCUUUAAUAUAAUAUUCAGUUGCUUAGUGGUCCCUAAAGUGCAGGGGGGUAGUUUUAUAUAGGAAUUAUAUUUGGAAAUAGAGUCAGAGGAAUUCAUGAAGAUUGAACCACUGGUUUUUGUUUGUUUGUUUGUUUGAGACGGAGUCUUGCUCUGUUGCCAGGCUGGAG
RNAcentral lists this long non-coding RNA (1890 nucleotides) under Macaca fascicularis (crab-eating macaque). RNAcentral's name for it is "lncRNA (ENSMFAG00000049702.1)". Lineage: Eukaryota; Metazoa; Chordata; Mammalia; Primates; Cercopithecidae. The record is from RNAcentral.